CAGUAGCCACGGGAAUACGGAGGGUGCAAGCGUUAAUCGGAAUUACUGGGCGUAAAGCGCACGCAGGCGGUCUGUUAAGUCAGAUGUGAAAUCCCCGGGCUCAACCCGGGAACUGCAUUUGAAACUGGCAGGCUUGAGUCUUGUAGAGGGGGGUAGAAUUCCAGGUGUAGCGGUGAAAUGCGUAGAGAUCUGGAGGAAUACCGGUGGCGAAGGCGGCCCCCUGGACAAAGACUGACGCUCAGGUGCGAAAGCGUGGGGAGCAAACAGGAUUAGAUACCCCAGUAGUCCCUGUCUCUUAUAC
Molecule: ribosomal RNA, 301 nt
Filed under: uncultured bacterium
Lineage: Bacteria
Description: partial 16S ribosomal RNA
Rfam family: Bacterial small subunit ribosomal RNA
Source: RNAcentral